Molecule: non-coding RNA, 4170 nt
Organism: Ictidomys tridecemlineatus (thirteen-lined ground squirrel)
Lineage: Eukaryota; Metazoa; Chordata; Mammalia; Rodentia; Sciuridae
Source: RefSeq, a predicted model, not a curated record
UUUUUUGCAGAGAACAUAUCAGGGAUGGGGGAGGAGGGAUGGCAAUCGCCAAUCCUCCAGCCCCCUGUGUUUUCUCAUGCAAAUUCGCCUUUUGAGCUUGAAAGCGGCCUUUUCGGCUCCUCCCCCAAACCUCUCCCUGCCCCCUGCCCCCUUCUCUCGGUUCUCUCCUUAGAGUGGGCGAGUCGAUUUCCGCCACCCUUGGCAAGGCUUUUCUAACAAUGGCUCAUUAAUAUUCGGUGGCGCAGGCUUGCCAGGAGAGCGCUAGAGUUCUCAUCUCCCGGCCCUGGGCACCGAAGACCCCUCGGGCUACUUCGAAAUCCCUGGCCCCGGAGGCAGCCCUCCGCCAGCGCAGGCGGGCGCAGUGGGGCGCUGCUCCAAGAUCUAAGACCCAUAAAAACAGGACUUGUCUGGGGUAGCUCCUCCUGGGCCUGAGUCAUCUAUGCAAAAACAAAUUUGUUCCUUUUUGCAGUGUUUGUUGUCUUUGUCUUGAAACGUAGCCUUUACGCUUCCCAAGCAGCAUGCGGGUCCUAAGACUGCGAAGACUUCUUUGACUCUUGCAGACAAGCAUUUUUUGAGGCAUCUAUUAUUUCUAUGGAAUUCUUGACAGACAACAAAGAAUUUAAAAAAAAAUACAACUGUGGAUUUUCUGCUGUCAAGGAAACAAGCUGUUCUCCCCAUUUAAGGAUCCCUUGGUACGCCUGGUGAAAACUUUAUUAACAAUUGAUGAAUACAUUCAAUGGCCUCACAGAAUUCACCUGGAGUCAUUUCUAGAACCACCAUGUGCUAUGGGGCAAGCUUGAUGAGUCUCUGAUUAUGAAUCCCGUCUGUGCAGAAUGCCCCUGGUUUUCUGGAAGGCCUGAGGAGAGGUGCUGAGCCCAGCAGGUUUCCGCCCCAGGAUGUGGAAUAAAGUAGGCUGAUGACAGCUGAAGAAGACUGUAUUUGCUGAGGAGCAGCAUGAGGGUAGAGAGGAGCAGAGCUCCUGAGGGAGACCUAAUGGUUCCUCUCCUUCCUGCACGGAGAUAAAGACUUAUAAUAAGCGUGUAUGUUCACCAUCUGGCUCUGCGCAUGUGGUCCUUAUGGAGGAGAGAGCAGCGCAAUCUGUAAGUGAUCAGGAGCCAUGGCGCUCUCUCCAGAGAAUCCACGAUGCAAUCAAGGUGACAGAUGGCAUGGCCACUGCUGUGGCCUCAUGGAGAAGAUCAAAAUCACCUUCAAUAAACUCUGACUGAAAUGGGCAUGAGCACCUCAAAAAAGUCAGUUUGUCAGUCAAACUGCCGCAGCGAGCUGCACUGGGGACACGCAGCGGCCAGCUCUCUGUUUUCAAUCGUUUCCGUCUGACUGGGCCUGAACUAUGAUCUUUCUCAAAUUGUCCUUUCUGUUUAGCUGAAGCAGGCCAGCAAAUUGCCAGAUUCAUGGCUUUAUUGAAGAAAAUUGAAAACACGAUGUCCUCAAUUCCGGGGACGCACAGCUGGCCAGGGCUGGGACACCCAAGCGCAGACAGUGGACCCCACUUCUUCGGCUCAAGUUUGCCCAACUUGAGGGAGAUUUUUGGACACGAAAAUAAAAUGCAAAUGUGUGCCUGGCAGUAGUUAUGUAAGGGGUGUUAGGUAUCCAAUAAAAUGUUGUAGAAUAAAUAAAUGAUUGAAAAGAGAAAGAGGAAAGAAGGAGAGAAGUAAAUAAACUUUCGUGUUGUUAGGAUUAGGCAUUUUCACAGCAGACCACCGACCUGAUGGAACUGAUAUCUGUUUCCAUUUCUAUGCAUAUUUAUUGCCCAUGGUUUUCCAUGGACUUGAAGCCUUGGGCAUAAGGUCGAUGGAAUAUAGAUACAUUAUUUUGUCCUCAGCAGUUCAUAUGGAGUUGCAGGGGCAGCAAGUUCAGACAAAUUUCCAUUUCUGUUCCCCCCAACUGAAAAAUUUCCAAAUGCUCCAACUGCUUCUAUAUCUAGCAGGAAAUGAGUAUAAGCUACCUGCAGGAGAAGAAAAAUAUACUACUCUGCUUUGCUAAGUAAGGAUACUGAUUUGGGGGUCAAAGAUGAUGGAUCUUAAUGAAAGAAACCUCUCCCCCUCCAUCUCCCUCCUCCUCAUUUGGCAGAGUUCCACUGUUGUUCUUUCUCCCCAGCUCCAGGAACUGUGGAUUGAAAGCAAAAGUCGACUUUCCCAACCUGGUGUUUUCCCCAAGUACCCAAUAUCUGCUGUCUGGUACUAGUGUUUUAUAUGUCUGCGAGGGAACUUAUAAUAUUUCAACUUCCCAUUGGUUUUCCUGUUGGAAACUGUAACCUUCUGGUUUUGUGUUCUUGCUUCAUUUAAAAUCCAAAUCCUGCUCCUGCCUGUUCUUCAUCCUCCAUGUUGUAAAUUAUUUAUUUUGAUGAUUCAGAAAUAUUUUAUUGUUGGGUCCUGGAUUCUCAUAAAGUCAUGAUUCCUCUUAUAGGUGCAAUCUGAAUGCUAAUGUUCUGGUGCAGACAUUUGUAACUGUAACUUAAGGGGCCUCAUUCCUAAUCUGUGUACACAAAAUAAGAGAAACCAUGACAAAAGGCUCACAUUUUGAGUGACAGGAAUGGGUAGCUCUUGAGACAGAACUGUCUUUUUACAGGGCAUACAGGUGGGGCAGACUUAUUCCUUAUCACUGUGAGGCGUGGCUUCCUGGAAUGGAAGACUAAAUUUAUUCAGGGGGAAAUACUCACUGAAUGCUGAAUACCUACUAGGGGCCGGCUUUGCAGAAUUAAGCAAUAAGUCUCUGUAAAGGAAAACAGCCAUUUUCAUGGGCACGGUUCUCUGCCUGCCUGCCCUUUCUUGCCUGGAUCUAGCUCUUGGGAAAAGGCAUUGCACCCCUGUCAAUGUUCAGCUCUUGUGCAAUAGCAGGGCCCCAUGUGGGCUGCUGGGAGCAUGCUAUUGUUACACAGGAGAUCCUGUGUGAGAUCUCAUCUUGGCCUUUGGCUUUCUGUAAUGACAGGUUCUGUAAUGGACAUGUUCAUCAAUGCUGCCACCAGGCGGGGUGGCAGGAUGGGUCAUUUCUGUUUUAGUAGCAGUUCAUUCUCUCAGACUCUUGCUGCAAGGAGUAAUGCUUCCAAAAGGCAAUAGGCCCAACCCUUCCUUGAGGGAAAGAUUGCAUGGGGAGAUUCAGCAGGGUCCAGAUGGAUAAGGUAGCUUACAUUGCAACAUGAAUAUUCUGAAACAUAUGUCCAGCAUGAUAUUUAGUAAUCAGAGCUUGGCCUAAAUUCAGAUAAUUAUGUUCUAUCUUUUUGUGGCAUGGACCAUCAUCUGAUCUUUGCAAGUUAUAUAACCAUAUAUUAUUACUCUCCUUUGUAUUUGUACUGUUGUUCCCGAAUAACACAUUACUUUAGAGAAAGCUUCUUGAGAUAAUGUUAAAAACUUCAGUCAGCAGAACUUAUGCAUGUGCAUUUGCUAUCUCAAUUUAUCCAUCCAUCUAUUGUCUAUCUAGACACAGGGGGCAGGGGUAGGAUCUAUAGAUCUUUGGGUUCCACCUGCCCCUGGAAUUCAUAAAGGAGCAGCCACAGGAGAAUGGCCCACAGUCACAAUAAGGGAAGUGACUCCAAAUGAACUAAGUAAUUUUUAAUUAUGGAGGUUUUUUUUUUUUUUAAAUAAGUACAACAUUGAAGAAAAGGCUACACAGAAAUUUAAACACCCCCACCCAUGCACACAAAGGUGUGAGUAUGUGUUGAGAUUUCUAGUGAGAUGAUAGAAAUAUUCAGAUUCUUUUUCCUGUUUGGUGAGCUCUUGAUUACUCCAAGUUAUUUAAUGCAUUCAUAUCAAAUCUUUCUCUAUUAACUUUAUUAGAUUAAGGAAUAUGCAUCUGCAAAAAUGUGCUUAUUAAGAGAAAAAUUAAAAGUAGAUCAUGUCAUUAGUAAAUGUAUACCUUAUAAUAUAGGCCAAAAAUGUUAUGUUUUUGCAGAUUCUCUUUGUCUUGAAAACAAAAAUGCAGUAAGCAUAAAUAAGGAAAUGCAAAAGGGAAGCAUCUUGCACGUGCAGCAUUAAUAUUCCUAUUUUAAUUGUCUAACUUUAUUUUAGAUGAUCAGACUGCAAAAUACCCAUCUGAAACAUAUGUACAAUGAGUCUGGCUUUAUUAUGAAAGGACUGUGGAUUCAUAUAAUUUUUAAAAGGCAAAAUAUCAAUGCUGAAUAAUACAUUUUAUCAUUGAAUAAAGCAACCUAAAGAA